GACGAACGCUGGCGGCGUGCCUAAUACAUGCAAGUUGAGCGCUGAAGGUUGGUACUUGUACCAACUGGAUGAGCAGCGAACGGGUGAGUAACGCGUGGGGAAUCUGCCUUUGAGCGGGGGACAACAUUUGGAAACGAAUGCUAAUACCGCAUAAAAACUUUAAACACAAGUUUUAAGUUUGAAAGAUGCAAUUGCAUCACUCAAAGAUGAUCCCGCGUUGUAUUAGCUAGUUGGUGAGGUAAAGGCUCACCAAGGCGAUGAUACAUAGCCGACCUGAGAGGGUGAUCGGCCACGUUGGGACUGAGACACGGCCCAAACGCCUACGGGAGGCAGCAGUAGGGAAUCUUCGGAAAUGGACGAAAGUCUGACCGAGCAACGCCGCGUGAGUGAAGAAGGUUUUCGGAUCGUAAAACUCUGUUGGUAGAGAAGAACGUUGGUGAGAGUGGAAAGCUCAUCAAGUGACGGUAACUACCCAGAAAGGGACGGCUAACUACGUG
Molecule: ribosomal RNA, 497 nt
Filed under: uncultured bacterium
Lineage: Bacteria
Description: partial 16S ribosomal RNA
Rfam family: Bacterial small subunit ribosomal RNA
Source: RNAcentral